CAAUAGCGUAUAUUAAAGUUGUUGCAGUUAAAAAGCUCGUAGUUGGAUUUCUGGAUGGAGCGACCGGUCGGGCAUUAAUUUGUCUGCACUGGAGUCGGUUCCGUCCAUCCUCUUGGAAAGUGCGUGGGGCAUUAAGUUGUCUGGCGUAUGAUCCAAGUCGUUUACUGUGAAAAAAUUAGAGUGUUUAAAGCAGGCCUUCGCCUUGAAUACAUUAGCAUGGAAUAAUAAGAUAGGACUUUGGUCUAUUUUGUUGGUUUGUAGACCGAAGUAAUGAUUAAUAGGGAUAGUUGGGGGUAUUUAUAUUCCGAUGUCAGAGGUGAAAUUCUUAGAUUUUCGGAAGAUAAACUUAUGCGAAAGCAUUUACCAAGGAUGUUUUCAUUAA
RNAcentral lists this ribosomal RNA (382 nucleotides) under uncultured eukaryote. RNAcentral describes it as "partial 18S ribosomal RNA". It matches the Rfam family "Eukaryotic small subunit ribosomal RNA", at positions 592 to 976 of the family's 1831-position model. The record is from RNAcentral.